CCUACGGGUCGCACCAGUAGGGAAUCUUCGGCAAUGGACGAAAGUCUGACCGAGCAACGCCGCGUGAGUGAAGAAGGUUUUCGGAUCGUAAAACUCUGUUGGUAGAGAAGAACGUUGGUGAGAGUGGAAAGCUCAUCAAGUGACGGUAACUACCCAGAAAGGGACGGCUAACUACGUGCCAGCAGCCGCGGUAAUACGUAGGUCCCGAGCGUUGUCCGGAUUUAUUGGGCGUAAAGCGAGCGCAGGUGGUUUAUUAAGUCUGGUGUAAAAGGCAGUGGCUCAACCAUUGUAUGCAUUGGAAACUGGUAGACUUGAGUGCAGGAGAGGAGAGUGGAAUUCCAUGUGUAGCGGUGAAAUGCGUAGAUAUAUGGAGGAACACCGGGGGCGAAAGAGGCUCUCUGGCCUGUAACUGGCGCUGAGGCUCGAAAGCGUGGGGAGCAAACAGGAUUAGAUACCCGAGUAGUC
RNAcentral lists this ribosomal RNA (465 nucleotides) under uncultured bacterium. Its description in RNAcentral is "bacterial SSU rRNA". It matches the Rfam family "Bacterial small subunit ribosomal RNA", at positions 338 to 795 of the family's 1533-position model. The record is from RNAcentral.